RNAcentral lists this long non-coding RNA (1420 nucleotides) under Sus scrofa (pig). RNAcentral describes it as "lncRNA (ENSSSCG00025021036.1)". The record is from RNAcentral. Lineage: Eukaryota; Metazoa; Chordata; Mammalia; Artiodactyla; Suidae.
GGAGCAAGUUUCCCUUUAUAGCAUAUUUCAGAUAAUUAAUGAAGAAAGAAUGACAUUAUUAGAAUAUAUUUUGCAACUCCUAAUGGAACACAGUGACCAUGCCCUGUUCUUAACUGCUAGGCCACUAGGGAACUCCUACAGUUCAUGUUUUAAGUGUGGUAAUAUGUGAUCACAUUUUUAAAAAAAGAUUCCAUAUAUUCUAAAUAUACAUACUGACAUAAAUAUAUGAUUUGCUUUAAAUAGGCUUGGAGUGGGAUGAGGCAUAAAUGUGAAAUCUCACUGGCCACAAGUUGAUUAUGAGUAAGCUGCGUGAUGGGCACAUGAGAGUUUCUUAUGCUAUAAUCUCUACUUCUGUAGAUAUUUGCAACUUUUCGUAAAAAAGUUAAAAGAAGAAUAUCUCAGAACAUGCUAUUUCUUGUUGUGGCUUAUUAGCUGUAAUCUUAGUACUACCAAAGAAAUUUUAACAGAAUGUCAAACAAUUACUCUUUCACUUGUAAGCUUGUAAUUUACUAAAAAUAAUUCUGAUACAGCCCCACCACUAACAUAUACCAGGGCCUGAGUGAGAGUGAAGUGGUACCCAUGUUCCUUAUGUCCAGUAUAUAAAGUCAUAAGCCAGAUUACUGAACUAGCAAAGAAAAUAUGUCCUACUCCCUUACGUGGAUAAGUAUACCUUCAUUAUGUCCUGGAAGACCAAAUUCAGGUUUAAAAUUCUUAGAUUCCUUUCUGUGUUUUGUACCAGACAACCAACCCCUAACUCCUGACCUGCAGCCCCAUGGUUUGGAACCCUCCCUUUCUCUUCCCACUCUAAGCCCUGCCUUUCCUUACCAUGAGGGGCCUCAGCGCAUCCUUCAGUUUUCACUUCUAUGUCCUUUUCAGAGUUUCUGUGUGCUACCACUCCUUGGGGCCUCGAGUGUGUAGGAUGGUCCAUACAGGUCCUAGAAGCAGGCUCAGGGCCCUUUGGAAGGAAAUUCCUGGUGCAUAAGUAGCCAGAGCAUCCUGAGGCAGAGGGGAGCCACUGAUUCCAUGCAGGUGCAUCCUUAUCACCCUGUGAAGCCCUCAGCUGGUGGAAAUCAAUGGUUACAGGAGGGUCAGAGCAGAACCUGCUACAACUCAGGGCCAGAGUUUGGUAUCUCGUGCCUGGAUCCAAGGGAGAUAAGUCUCUGUUGGCUUAAGUUCUCCAAUUCUUACAAGAAACCCUUAAUUUGGCUCACAUUAUUUGACUUUGUUCAUUCCUUUUGACAUUUAUCUUUUGCAAACCGUAACAAUUUAGCUCAAAUACAACUGAAUACUGGUCUUCUCUUUAAAAAAUUAUUUUUUGCUUUCAAAGUGUAAUUGGCAACUUCAAGGGAUUUAUCUGCCCGUCUGUUUGGUGGAAUGAACACCAACUCAAAACCUAGUCAAGGGAAAAAAAAAAAAAAAA